Molecule: ribosomal RNA, 127 nt
Filed under: Enterobacter hormaechei
Lineage: Bacteria; Pseudomonadati; Pseudomonadota; Gammaproteobacteria; Enterobacterales; Enterobacteriaceae
Description: partial 23S ribosomal RNA
Rfam family: Bacterial large subunit ribosomal RNA
Source: RNAcentral
UGAGACCUUGAGUCUCCUGAAGGAACGUUGAAGACGACGACGUUGAUAGGUCGGGUGUGUAAGCGCAGCGAUGCGUUGAGCUAACCGAUACUAAUGAACCGUGAGGCUUAACCUUACAACGCCGAAG